This 420-nucleotide ribosomal RNA is filed under the name uncultured bacterium. RNAcentral describes it as "bacterial SSU rRNA". It matches the Rfam family "Bacterial small subunit ribosomal RNA", at positions 355 to 773 of the family's 1533-position model. The record is from RNAcentral.
UAAGGAAUAUUGGUCAAUGGACGCAAGUCUGAACCAGCCAUGCCGCGUGAAGGAUGAAGGUCCUCUGGAUUGUAAACUUCUUUUAUCUGGGACGAAAACGGGAUUUUUAUCUCAAUUGACGGUACCAGAGGAAUAAGCACCGGCUAACUCCGUGCCAGCAGCCGCGGUAAUACGGAGGGUGCGAGCGUUAUCCGGAUUUACUGGGUUUAAAGGGUGCGUAGGUGGGCUUAUAAGUCAGUGGUGAAAUCUCCGAGCUUAACUUGGAAACUGCCGUUGAUACUAUAGGUCUUGAAUUAUCUGGAGGUAAGCGGAAUAUGUCAUGUAGCGGUGAAAUGCUUAGAUAUGACAUAGAACACCAAUUGCGAAGGCAGCUUACUACAUAUAAAUUGACGCUGAGGCACGAAAGCGUGGGGCUCAAAC